GUGGGGAAUAUUGGACAAUGGGCGCAAGCCUGAUCCAGCCAUGCCGCGUGAGUGAUGAAGGCCUUAGGGUUGUAAAGCUCUUUUGUCCGGGAAGAUAAUGACUGUACCGGAAGAAUAAGCCCCGGCUAACUUCGUGCCAGCAGCCGCGGUAAUACGAAGGGGGCUAGCGUUGUUCGGAAUCACUGGGCGUAAAGCGCACGUAGGCGGACCAUUAAGUCAGGGGUGAAAGCCUGGAGCUCAACUCCAGAACUGCCUUUGAGACUGAUGGUCUCGAGUAUGGAAGAGGUUGGUGGAACUGCGAGUGUAGAGGUGAAAUUCGUAGAUAUUCGCAAGAACACCGGUGGCGAAGGCGGCCAACUGGUCCAUUACUGACGCUGAGGUGCGAAAGCGUGGGGAGCAAACAGGAUUAGAAACCCUAGUAGUCC
RNAcentral lists this ribosomal RNA (425 nucleotides) under uncultured bacterium. RNAcentral's name for it is "partial 16S ribosomal RNA". It matches the Rfam family "Bacterial small subunit ribosomal RNA", at positions 354 to 796 of the family's 1533-position model. The record is from RNAcentral.